UCACAAGCUUCUCAUUCAUUCAAGCGUUAUUUUCCUCUCUCACUUCUAUCAAAUCUGGGUUUCCUUUUCUUCCCUCUUCAUCACCGUAAUAUCAUUAUCAUUGGAGUUUCUUUUCUUCCUCCUUCGUCAUCCUAUGUAAACCCUAACACACCAGUUCUUCAAGGAUUACUGAUUCAUUCUAAAGGAAUGGCGGAUCUUUCAAAUGCCGUUUUUCUAUGAGCAACAGAGUCCCAAUCAUGGUGAAUGCAAAGAUGCUGAAGAUAGCCUCAGUCAGGUUGGUGACCAAGACGAAAAGCUGGCAGAAGGUAUCAAGCUUUAGCUGGGGUGUUCGAGAGAUUUACCGAGAGACCAAUCAAAGCUGUGAUGUUGUUGAUAGUUCGGGUUCGGCUACGGAUGUGGCGUUUUCGAAUAGUACGGAAAGGGUGUUUGAAGUUGCGGUUGAGUAUUUAAGAACUAUGGGGUAUAAGUUUAUUGCUCCUAAACAUAUUGUUAUUGGUUUGUUGACUGUUGAUGAUGGUAGUGCUGGUCGUGUUCUUCAAAAGUUAGGAGCAAAUUUGAACGAGUUAGCUUAUGUUGCAGUGUCUUCGAUCGUGGGGUUCGGGUUUAGGUAUAUGCAUUUAGCAUCUCUGAUCAGGUGCUGGCGAAGAGAGUAACCAGGCACGUGAGCUUUCUUUCUAAGAGCCUAGCGGUUCAAGAUGUGUAGUAAUAGCGUUUCUUUAAAGGACUGCUCUGACAGUUGUGGGAUUUAAAGUACGGGAAUGCUAUUACAUGGUUUGAAGUUCAAGAAGGCCAGUUCCAACACAUAGAUUUUCAUCCAAGUGAGUGAGUUCUUGAUGGCUACAGCCACGCCCCAAAGGAGUGUUGUGGCGUUACUUACACUAAAAAGCGCAAGGCUGGUCAAGUUUAUGGAGUCUCUCUAACUGGUAAUUUAUUGAGUAAGUCCGGUGUUUUUGCAGAACAGAACAAGUAGUUAAAAAAAUAUGUUUGCCGAUUUAAGGAAUCUUGCAAAAUAUACCACUCAUGUUGCUGGUAUGACCCCCUCCCUAUUUGUCUCUUAUUGUUGGUAAUUGAUUUAUUUUGCAAGAUAAACAGCCAACAUAUUUCCAGUAUAAACAACCACCUUUUAAGUAAGACACCAAUAUUAUUAGAAAAUCUCAUCUUAUUUCCUAUGUAAGCCAUUAUCACAUGUCCACCACAAAAAAAAAUAUGUUUAUUGAAAAAUCACCAAUUUUAUCUUCCUUUAACUAUUGUUAACUGAUAUGUCAAUAUAAUAGCUUCAUUACUUGAAAAUUAAUUUUUUUGGAACAAUAUGUUUUCACUAAUAGUCGGUUGUAUGUGUCGCUUUAUCAAGAGUAAAAACCAGAAAUGGAGUCAAAAAACUACUGAUAUUAGACAAGGAUGACAAACCGACAGAUGAAACAACAAAUGUCGCGUAUAAAGAAGUCUUUAAAAGUUGUGAUUUUUUUUUCAUUUAUUUCAUUUAUUAAGUGUAAAUUAUAUUUACGUUAGUAUCGAAACUAUUCUAAUUUGUUUCUUAAAAAGACAUUUUUGGGUUUACACAUAUGUAAGCAAAGUUUUAUAUGAACUAAUAUGAAUUUAAAUAAGAAUUUAGAUAUUGAAGUUUAUAUAAACUUGAUGUCAAUCAAAAGAUGAAAACCAUGACCUUUCGUUGAUCUAUUAAAGGUUCGCUGGUAUGUAACAGGUUUUUGGAGAGGGAAGUGAUCACUCUGUUCGGUUAUGGGUUUGUACCGGUUAGGGUCGUGUAUUGUCUGUUUGGGACCUGUUUCAACCCUUAGACGUGAAGCCUAAGUUUGGAAAGGCCGAAAAAAAGUGAUGACCUACAUGAGCUUCAAUACCAAUAGAUAUUAUAUAUUUAUGUUUAACCACCCGCGAAACUCGCGGGAUCUUAGGCUAGUUUUUAUUUUAUAUAGAGAAACGGGGCCAACCAAAUAGGAGUCCCAACAACAAAACACAUUACAAUAUGAGAUCUUGCACAUUAAAAUCAUACUAUCUCUCCUCAUCUAGGCUUUAUAUUUUAUAUAUAGAAACGGGGCCAACCAAAUAGGAGUCCCAACAACAAAACACAUUACAAUAUGAGAUCUUGCACAUUAAAAUCAUACCAUCUCUCCUAAUCUAGGCUAACAAAUGAAGAUCUAUUUUAUAGUCACCAAAAAAAAAUCUUCUUUGAUAGCCUCCACCACUUUCUUUAACGAAAAGGGAACAUUAUCAAAAGAUAGCCUUUUUCGAGUCUUCCAUAUUCUCCAAAAAAAAGUCGAGUUGAAAAUAACGUACAACACCUUUUUCCUGUUUAAUGAUUCUUUAAGCUUGUCAAUGCAUGCUCUCUAGAAGAUCUUGGACAGAAGCAACAUUCAUCAUACAAGGAGCUUCAACCACAUGCAAAUAUGCCACCAAAUGGCUUUAAUAGUUAAACAAGAGGCUGCCAAGUGGUCCAUAGUUAUUUUUUUAAAUAGCAAUUGAAACUAACUCCAAUAUUCGAGUAAGACUUUUUAAGACGGGAUGUUAACCGU
Molecule: RNA transcript, 2528 nt
Organism: Helianthus annuus (common sunflower)
Lineage: Eukaryota; Viridiplantae; Streptophyta; Magnoliopsida; Asterales; Asteraceae
Gene name: chaperone protein ClpD, chloroplastic-like
Exons: 6
Source: RefSeq, a predicted model, not a curated record